AUUGUCCAUGUCACAAUGCUCAGAGUGUUGUAAGAAGACAAUACUCUAAUCACGAUUCCCAAAGUUGUCAUGGCUCAUGACCCUAUUCUUACACAUACUUUCAUUCUGAUGACAGCAUUACAUGGAGAGCUGAAUUCCGCUCCGGCCUUGAGGACAGAGUCACCAACAGAUAUCAAAACCCAUGGCAUUCACCGCCCCACUUUCUAGAUAAGCAAUCUGUCGAGGUCCGCAGCAAAUUCGUUUGGGCGCACAACAAGUAUGACAAUUACAGCCAAGACAACAACAAAUAUGUUCUUCUCAACAGUAAGUCAUUAACUCUAGGAAUGUGAAAUUUCCUCCCUUACCAAAGAAUGUAGGACACAUUUCAUAGCCGGAUAUAUGCUAUACAGUGCAUUCG
Salmo salar (Atlantic salmon) is the source of this 397-nucleotide non-coding RNA. The record is from RefSeq and is a predicted model, not a curated record. NCBI's taxonomy places the organism in Eukaryota, Metazoa, Chordata, Actinopteri, Salmoniformes, Salmonidae.